Molecule: non-coding RNA, 486 nt
Organism: Agelaius phoeniceus (red-winged blackbird)
Lineage: Eukaryota; Metazoa; Chordata; Aves; Passeriformes; Icteridae
Source: RefSeq, a predicted model, not a curated record
CGGUGCAGGAGCAGGUGGGGGGCGGGCGAGGGGCGGGGGUCACGCUGGGUGCCGUCCCCCAGAGGGACCCAAAGCUGCCACCAAAUGCACAGGGAAAUUGCAUUCCAAUGUCUUGGAACAGAGGCUCAUCGGAAGUUCUCUCAGCUAUCCAAGGCACGGAGCCCUGGAGCCAAGGCAGCCUGAGCUGCUGCGUGCUUGCUGUGAGCCUUGAGGGCAGGACAGCGUUCAGACUGAAAGUGUAAGAAGAUGUGGAGUGAGACAGAGAAUCUGACAGGAGCAUCGGACUCACAAGUGCACGAAUUUUGCAGAGUGCCGCUUGGAUUUAAACUCAGAAGUUGUAAGGAAUUUGGGAGGGAGAAGGGACAUUUCAGAAGGAGAAGAAGGAGAAGAUGUUACAGUCCUGGCAAAACCUUUUGUUCUGGCUAAUAAAAGAAGUUAGUUUAAAAAAUAAAAAAUAAAAUUUAAAAAGUGGUUUUUUUUCCUUCA